Molecule: long non-coding RNA, 400 nt
Organism: Lolium rigidum
Lineage: Eukaryota; Viridiplantae; Streptophyta; Magnoliopsida; Poales; Poaceae
Exons: 4
Source: RefSeq, a predicted model, not a curated record
GCCCGACCCCAGCUUGCUCUUGAAGAAGCUGGUCUGCCACUACCUCCCGGCAUAUACUCGGUGGCCAUUGAUGCAGACUCUUAGGCACUGACCAGGAAGCUCAAGAGAUGAGGCAAGUGCAUAGUUGUGAUCUCAUCUGAAGUGCGGCAGAAACAUGGACGAAGACGAUAAUGGGUGAAGCCUUGCAAAAGGUAGUGCCCCACUGGACAAUAUGUGAGUUGAUGUGCGUCCUACUGAGCCUGUGCAUUAAUACAAGAUAGUAGUAUUUUGAGAUUAUCUACCACAGAUAAUGAAGUGAUGUUCCUCUCUUACAAGAGCUCUAGACUGAAGUUCAAAGAAGCACCUAGUGCAACCCAUCAAAUAUGUUGUAUUUUUAGCUCUAGAUUUUAAAGCUAGCAGC